AUGUUCAGGCAUGCGUUACAAGCUGUUGCAUUCCUCAGCGAGGAGAAGAUCGCCGCCAAAGUGGAGCACUUGAAGAAGACGUUCAGGUGGUCUGAUGCCGAGGUGGGCAUUGCUUUGUCCAAGCUUGCGCCUGUGCUGACGAGGUCUAACCAGAUGCUGGAGAGCAAGUCAGAGUUCCUCAUUUCCGAGGUGGGGUUUGAGCCAGCAUACAUUGCUCAUCAUCCGGCAUUGCUCACGUACAGCCUGGAGGGCCGGAUCAUACCCCGGUACUAUGUUGUAAAGUUUCUUAAGGAAAAUGGACUGCUGGAUCACAACCGGAGCUACUAUACUGCAUUCAUUGUGAUGGAGAAAGUAUUCGUGGAGAAGUACAUAUGCCCUCACAAGGAAGUUGCACCAUACCUUGCUGAAGACUAUGAUGCCGCUUGCAGAGGGGAAGUGCCGACUAGAUUCAAAUUUACAUGA
RNAcentral lists this ribosomal RNA (462 nucleotides) under Triticum aestivum (bread wheat). RNAcentral describes it as "partial small subunit ribosomal RNA". The record is from RNAcentral. Lineage: Eukaryota; Viridiplantae; Streptophyta; Magnoliopsida; Poales; Poaceae.